AGGGGCAGGGUCUUUCUAUGUUGCCCAUGCUGGUUGUGAACUCCUGACCUCAAGGGAUCCUCUUACCUCUGUCUCCAAAAACAUUGGGGUUACAAUGCAGCAGUAGGACAAAGAACAUGGCUGCCGCUUCAAAUCUUGUGUGAAUUCACCUCAUCACUGGAACCAAAUUUAUAUCUAAUAAAAAGCUGUUACUCCGGAAAAAAUGCCACUCUCCUCCCCACUCAGCUCCAAACACAGUGUGAUUGUAAUGAACACCUAUCCUGAUGAGGAAUGCAGGCUGCAUCUUGGAGAAAAUUCAAAUAGAGGUCCAUUUGAAAAUGGAAGAUAUGUAGUUACCAAGGAAACUCGCUGUGAGUCAACAAACUGGCUUAACUUCGAGCUUUGUGAGUUUAUUCCAUACAGAAUUAACUUGCUAUUCAUUUUUACCUACUCUCCUAAAAUG
Molecule: long non-coding RNA, 442 nt
Filed under: Homo sapiens (human)
Lineage: Eukaryota; Metazoa; Chordata; Mammalia; Primates; Hominidae
Description: HSALNT0340787
Source: RNAcentral